GGUUGUUGAACUCAACAGACUUGUUACAAGUUGUUCCAACAACUUGUUAUCGCCCUGCAAUUCAACAACUUGUCAACAAGUUGUGAGUGACAAGCUUGUAGCAACUUGAUAAAAUAACAGCAUUGUCACAACCUGUUGACAAGUUUGCUACAAGCCCGUUGCGAACACAUCUUGUUGACAAGUUGUGAGAUUUUUACGUGUGUAGUUUUUCAAGUAAUUGCAUCAAUAUGACAAUAUUCCCUAUCAAUCUGAAGCUUUCUUAUUAUUGUCACUGCCUACAUUGGUACAGACCGUUCAGGCUUUAAAAUAGACAUAUUUUCGCGCACUAUUCUGGUUUUAAUUAAACUAGGUUACACAGCCAGAAACGCCACAGACUUGCUGCAAGUUGCGGAUUUUACCGGCCUGCUGCAAGUUAACAAAUUGCAGCAGGCUUGUCGACGUCAUCAACUUGCAGCAAGCCUGUUGAAAUCAGGCUUGCUGCAAGUUGACAUUUGCAGACUUGAUGCAAGUUGAUGAAACAACUUGCAUGAAGUCUGCAAAUGUCAACUUGCAGCAAUACUGAUAGAACAACUUGCAGCAAGUCUGAUGAACGCAUCAAUGCUGAAUUGCUGAUGCAAGUUAAUCAGGCUUGCUGCAAGUAUUAUUUGCAGACUUGAUGCAAGUUGUUUCAUCAACUUGCAUCAAGUUUGUGGAUGACAACUUGCAUCAAGUCUGCACAACUUGCAGCAAGUCUGCUGUUCGCAACUUGUUGCACACGUAAAAAUGCACAAGUUGUAACAAACCUGCAGCAGACUUGUAUAUAUAGCAAUGCUGUUCCAACAACUUGUCAAUAGGAUGUGUUCGCACUGCUUGUUCCCAGCUUGGUGACAAGUUGUCAACGGCUUGUUUCCAACUUGCUACAAGGUUGUUGAGUUCCACAGACUUGUUACAGGUUGUUCCAACCACUUGUUAUCGUCCUGCAAUUCAACAAUUUGUCAACAAGUUGUGAGUGACAACCUUGUAGCAACUUGAUAAAAUAACAGCAUUGUUACAACUUGUUGACAAGUUUGCUACAAGUCUGUUGCGAAACACAUCUUGUUGACAAGUUGUGAGAUUUUUACGUGUGUAGUCUGUGGACGACAACUUGCAUGCAGCAAGUCUGUUGACAACUUGCAGUAGACUUGAUAUUAUCAAGCUGGAGCAAACGAUGCGAACGCAUCUCAUAUCGGCUUGAUGAUCGCAAGUUGCAGCAAAUCUGCAGCAGACCUGCUGCAACUUGCGCGUUUCUGGCUGUGUACCUUAAAGGUAGCGAUUGCUGCCUAUUUUGCACAAUAUCAAGUGUCGAGGUCAAGAAAGAUGGAGGCCAGAACACGAUCAGCAUGCAAAAAAUUUUAAUAUUUUUGUGUGUUUAACAGUACCUGUAAAUGAUAAUACAUAAACUAUUUAUAUUUUGGAUGCCACUUACAAUGACUAUCACCGAAUACGAAGCAAAAUUUUCAAUAUGGGAAAAGCGGUUUUUGGUCAGCAAUAGGUGGGUUUCACGAAGCCUUGUACAUGUUAUAGGGAAAUGCGUGAACUCUCUGGUUUUUUUGGAGUUGACUACCAAGCGCUAAGCGUUCAACGUGACUGAAAUCCAGCUAUUGUUGCUAUAAUAUAACGUGGAGCAUCUUCGCGCACUUUUUGCAGACAUAUUUUUGCAGGCAGUACAUAUAGGGAAUAAGGAUUAAUAAAUUUACGUGGUGUUUCCACAAACAAAACUAUUAUAUGUUUUAUUUUAUUUUUUUAUUUGUGUGCAGCUAGUUUUUAUUUUCUGAUUUCCUGCAAUUUGAUUGGCUACGCGAGC
Molecule: non-coding RNA, 1822 nt
Organism: Paramuricea clavata
Lineage: Eukaryota; Metazoa; Cnidaria; Anthozoa; Malacalcyonacea; Plexauridae
Source: the annotation of a GenBank genome assembly